Molecule: ribosomal RNA, 1328 nt
Filed under: marine sediment metagenome
Description: SSU rRNA
Rfam family: Eukaryotic small subunit ribosomal RNA
Source: RNAcentral
AUGUUCAAUGAACGAGGUAGUGACAAGAAAUAUCGAUGCGUGAAUUUUAUUCAUGCAAUCGAAAUGAGUACAAUCUAAACACCUUAACGAGGAGCUACGAGAGGGAAAGUCUGGUGCCAGCAGCCGCGGUAAUUCCAGCUCUCGAAGUGUAUACAAAUGCUGUUGCAGUUAAAAAGCUCGUAGCCGGAAUUCGGCGUUACUUCAGAGGUCACCGACGUUGUCGGAGAUUCUCUUAGAGUUGCGCUUAUGCACGCGGAACUAUAUGGCCUUUCAUUAGGUUGUGUGGGAAAACGUGCCGUUUACCAUGAGUAAAUGGGAGUGUUUAAAGCAGGCGUUUGCCUGAACUUUUCAGCAUGGGAUAAUAGAAUAAGACUGCGUCUUAUUUCGUUGGUUUGCGAGAUAGCAGUGAUGAUUAAUAAGGGCGUUCGGGGGCAUUGGUAUUUCUUGGGAAGCGGUGAAAUGCGUAGAUCCAAGAAGGACCACCGGAAGCGAAAGCGUUUGUCAAGGGCGUCCCUAUUGGUCAAGAACGAAAGCUGGAGGAUGGAAGGAGCUUAGACACCUCUGUACUUCCAGCCGUAAACGAUUCGGACUCGGGAUCGGUGAGCGAGUUCUUUUCCCCAUCGGUAUCGUAAGAGAAAUCAAAGUUUUUGCGUUCUGGGGGGAGUAUGGUCGCAAGGCUGAAACUUAAAGGAAUUGACGGAAGAACACACAAGAAGUGGAUACUGCGGUUCAAUUUGACUCAACACGGGGAACCUCACGCGUCCAAGACACAGGUAGGAUUGACAGAUUGAAAGCUCUUUCUUGAUUCUGUGGCGAGUGGUGCAUGGCCGUUCUUAGUUCGUGGAGUGAUUUGUCUGCUUGAUUGCGAUAACGAACGAGACCUCCGCCUGCUAAAUAGCGCUCUGAAUCUUGUAUUCGGUGACGCUUCUUAGAGGGACAACCACCGCAAGGUGGGGGAAGCUGGAGGCAAUAACAGGUCUGUUAUGCCCUUAGAUGGAUGCGGCCACACGCGUUAUACAUUGAAGAAGUGAAUGAGUAAAACCUGACUCGACAGAGCCGGGUAAUCUUGGAAACUUCUUCGUACUGGGGAUUGCUGCUUGAAAUUUUUCAGCAUGAACGAGGAAUUCCUAGUAACUGUACGUCAUCAACGUACGGUGAUUGCGUCCCUGUUCUUUGUACACACCGCCCGUCGCUCGAUCCGAUUGGAUGUAAUGUCGAGUUUGACAGACGCGAUAGGACCUCGAGUCCUGUUGCGGAAGUUGCGCAAGAUUUUGCAUCUAGAGGAACGAGAAGUCGUAACAAGGCAGCCGUAGGAGAACCUGCGGCUG